AUGGCGGCGGAUUCGCAGCUUCCACGGCCACUCCACCUCGGGCAGCGUGGAUCACGGCCAGCGGCCCGAUGGAGGCGGGUACCGGCGUGGUUACUAUUCUGCCCUGCUCUCCCUCCAUGUCUCCUCCUGAGCCUCCGGUGGCCAGAUGCCUCUUCCACUAGGUCAGACAGUGUGCAGCCACACCUGGUCAACAUCCAGUUUCAGAAGAAUGUACAUCUGCAAGUAACCACGACGAGUAAACGAUCUUCUGCUGCCUUCCACUCAAUUUUGUUUGGAUGGUGCGUGAUUCCUUUCAUCGAGUCUUCGAUAAACCAAAUAGUUACUAGAGUAGUUAAUUAG
RNAcentral lists this ribosomal RNA (339 nucleotides) under Triticum aestivum (bread wheat). Its description in RNAcentral is "partial small subunit ribosomal RNA". Lineage: Eukaryota; Viridiplantae; Streptophyta; Magnoliopsida; Poales; Poaceae. The record is from RNAcentral.